Onychostoma macrolepis is the source of this 397-nucleotide long non-coding RNA. RefSeq lists it as uncharacterized. Lineage: Eukaryota; Metazoa; Chordata; Actinopteri; Cypriniformes; Cyprinidae. The transcript is spliced from 5 exons. The record is from RefSeq and is a predicted model, not a curated record.
UGAAGAGAGGGUGAAUGAAAUCACGAGGGAAUACUAUGAUGAUGUCAUCACUGAUGGACUGAAUCCAGAUCGUGAGACAGUAGAAGACACACCUGGGAGCUAUGAUGAUGUUAUCACUAGCGGACAGAACUCUGUGGACACACCUGAGAAUUAUGAUGAUGUCAUCAUUAAUGGACAGGACUCUCAAGGUGUAACAGAGGGAGAUCAGGAGGAGUAUGAUGAUGUGAAGAGCAGCAAUGAAGAUGAGAGAAACCUUUUGGACCAUGAUGAUGUGGGGGAGGAAUCAAAAUUAGGGCGGGACUUUAUGACUUAAAGGCCACACCCACUGCUUCGGUUCAUGAAAUCACAAUUUUACCGCUAGAGUUCAAUGGGUUAUGGGUUGGUAAGAGUUGAUGGG